Molecule: long non-coding RNA, 448 nt
Filed under: Triticum aestivum (bread wheat)
Lineage: Eukaryota; Viridiplantae; Streptophyta; Magnoliopsida; Poales; Poaceae
Description: long non-coding RNA (TAES_LNC001580)
Source: RNAcentral
AUCUGCAUUGGUGUAGGCUUGGAUGAUGUUGGCACCAUCGUGGCAGGCUUCAUCGGAGAUGGUGACGUGGGCAUGAACUGAUACGAUGGUUACCUGGACCUGGUUCAGGUUGGUAUUUACAGACCUGUACUCCUACAACUUGUUUUGUCUGGCAAAUGUACUACUACAACUUUGCUGCACAAUAAUACAUUGUAGAUAAUCACGCCCCUGACGAGCUGAUGUAUGUUCUGAGCUUAAUGAGCUGUUGUUUACUAUAUAUACUCCCUGUUUCAUCCAGGAACCGCGAGGUUGUCGGUUCUUAGGUUUCUUUUAGUUGUGGUUCUGCCGCUCCUCUGCUUAUGCUUGGUGGCACGCUCGCGGCGUCCAACAGAGCAUUUCUGAUGUUAUGUUGGCCUUGUUUGUCGUGCGUUGUCUUGUUUUUUAUUUGAUCAGUUUGCAUGAGGAUUUC